Molecule: ribosomal RNA, 468 nt
Filed under: uncultured bacterium
Lineage: Bacteria
Description: partial 16S ribosomal RNA
Rfam family: Bacterial small subunit ribosomal RNA
Source: RNAcentral
GACGAACGCUGGCGGCGUGCUUAACACAUGCAAGUCGAACGGAAAGGCCCUGCUUUUGUGGGGUGCUCGAGUGGCGAACGGGUGAGUAACACGUGAGUAACCUGCCCUUGACUUUGGGAUAACUUCAGGAAACUGGGGCUAAUCCCGGAUAGGAGCUCCUGCUGCAUGGUGUGGGUUGGAACGUUUCGGCGGUUGGGGAUGGACUCGCGGCUUAUCAGCUUGUUGGUGGGGUAGUGGCUUACCAAGGCUUUGACGGGUAGCCGGCCUGAGAGGGUGACCGGCCACAUUGGGACUGAGAUACGGCCCAGACUCCUACGGGAGGCAGCAGUGGGGAAUAUUGCACAAUGGGCGGAAGCCUGAUGCAGCAACGCCGCGUGCGGGAUGACGGCCUUCGGGUUGUAAACCGCUUUCGCCUGUGACGAAGCGUGAGUGACGGUAAUGGGUAAAGAAGCACCGGCUAACUACGUG